Molecule: ribosomal RNA, 1083 nt
Filed under: Salmonella enterica subsp. enterica
Lineage: Bacteria; Pseudomonadati; Pseudomonadota; Gammaproteobacteria; Enterobacterales; Enterobacteriaceae
Also listed under: 1 other name
Description: bacterial SSU rRNA
Rfam family: Bacterial small subunit ribosomal RNA
Source: RNAcentral
UGAACGCUGGCGGCAGGCCUAACACAUGCAAGUCGAACGGUAACAGGAAGCAGCUUGCUGCUUUGCUGACGAGUGGCGGACGGGUGAGUAAUGUCUGGGAAACUGCCUGAUGGAGGGGGAUAACUACUGGAAACGGUGGCUAAUACCGCAUAACGUCGCAAGACCAAAGAGGGGGACCUUCGGGCCUCUUGCCAUCAGAUGUGCCCAGAUGGGAUUAGCUUGUUGGUGAGGUAACGGCUCACCAAGGCGACGAUCCCUAGCUGGUCUGAGAGGAUGACCAGCCACACUGGAACUGAGACACGGUCCAGACUCCUACGGGAGGCAGCAGUGGGGAAUAUUGCACAAUGGGCGCAAGCCUGAUGCAGCCAUGCCGCGUGUAUGAAGAAGGCCUUCGGGUUGUAAAGUACUUUCAGCGGGGAGGAAGGUGUUGUGGUUAAUAACCACAGCAAUUGACGUUACCCGCAGAAGAAGCACCGGCUAACUCCGUGCCAGCAGCCGCGGUAAUACGGAGGGUGCAAGCGUUAAUCGGAAUUACUGGGCGUAAAGCGCACGCAGGCGGUCUGUCAAGUCGGAUGUGAAAUCCCCGGGCUCAACCUGGGAACUGCAUUCGAAACUGGCAGGCUUGAGUCUUGUAGAGGGGGGUAGAAUUCCAGGUGUAGCGGUGAAAUGCGUAGAGAUCUGGAGGAAUACCGGUGGCGAAGGCGGCCCCCUGGACAAAGACUGACGCUCAGGUGCGAAAGCGUGGGGAGCAAACAGGAUUAGAUACCCUGGUAGUCCACGCCGUAAACGAUGUCUACUUGGAGGUUGUGCCCUUGAGGCGUGGCUUCCGGAGCUAACGCGUUAAGUAGACCGCCUGGGGAGUACGGCCGCAAGGUUAAAACUCAAAUGAAUUGACGGGGGCCCGCACAAGCGGUGGAGCAUGUGGUUUAAUUCGAUGCAACGCGAAGAACCUUACCUGGUCUUGACAUCCACAGAACUUUCCAGAGAUGGAUUGGUGCCUUCGGGAACUGUGAGACAGGUGCUGCAUGGCUGUCGUCAGCUCGUGUUGUGAAAUGUUGGGUUAAGUCCCGCAACGAGCGCAAC